ACCUUUUUCGAAAAGACUCCAGUACCAGCAUGCCGAACGUCAAAUAUCUGGCAACCGCCAAGCACAAAAAUCGAGAGAGCAACUUCGACUGUGAAAAUUCUUCUGUACUUCAUUCGAAACUCGAACUCGGAAGUAGGAGGACUGGUGUUGGGUAUAAAAUACCCCCAGUCGAAGUUCAUAAGAGGCCAACUCUCCUGAGAUCCCUCCGACUUAGUGCGACAUCUUUUUCGAAUUUCUCUGGCAGCCGAAUUUUCGACCUGGUGCGAUGCUUUUCUAAAGUCCCCCAACUAUCUAAGCUAUGAUAACGCCCUUCCGGACUUCUCCAACAAUGCUAUCCGGGCUUCACUAUCUACCAACCUUCUACAAUGAUCGAUC
This 375-nucleotide long non-coding RNA is filed under the name Elaeis guineensis (African oil palm). RNAcentral's name for it is "long non-coding RNA (EGUI_LNC067359)". The record is from RNAcentral. Lineage: Eukaryota; Viridiplantae; Streptophyta; Magnoliopsida; Arecales; Arecaceae.